RNAcentral lists this ribosomal RNA (502 nucleotides) under Rhodocyclaceae bacterium. RNAcentral's name for it is "bacterial SSU rRNA". It matches the Rfam family "Bacterial small subunit ribosomal RNA", at positions 1 to 498 of the family's 1533-position model. Lineage: Bacteria; Pseudomonadati; Pseudomonadota; Betaproteobacteria; Rhodocyclales; Rhodocyclaceae. The record is from RNAcentral.
GAACUGAAGAGUUUGAUCCUGGCUCAGAUUGAACGCUGGCGGAAUGCUUUACACAUGCAAGUCGAGCGGCAGCGCGGGGGCAACCCUGGCGGCGAGCGGCGAACGGGUGAGUAACAUAUCGGAACGUACCCUAUCGUGGGGGAUAACACAUCGAAAGAUGUGCUAAUACCGCAUACGACCUGAGGGUGAAAGCAGGGGAUCGCAAGACCUUGCGCGACGGGAGCGGCCGAUAUCGGAUUAGCUAGUUGGUGAGGUAAAGGCUCACCAAGGCGACGAUCCGUAGCUGGUCUGAGAGGACGACCAGCCACACUGGAACUGAGACACGGUCCAGACUCCUACGGGAGGCAGCAGUGGGGAAUUUUGGACAAUGGGGGCAACCCUGAUCCAGCCAUUCAGCGUGAGUGUAGUAGGCCUUAGGGUUUUAAAACUCUUUCAGCAGGAACGAUACGUUGAGCUCUUACAUAGCUUGCUAAUGACGUUACCUGAAGAUGAAUCACCGGCU